RNAcentral lists this non-coding RNA (30 nucleotides) under Mus musculus (house mouse). Lineage: Eukaryota; Metazoa; Chordata; Mammalia; Rodentia; Muridae. The record is from RNAcentral.
UUGGUCCCUCUUGAAACACAGUAAAGUUAC